RNAcentral lists this ribosomal RNA (253 nucleotides) under uncultured bacterium. RNAcentral describes it as "partial 16S ribosomal RNA". It matches the Rfam family "Bacterial small subunit ribosomal RNA", at positions 524 to 776 of the family's 1533-position model. The record is from RNAcentral.
UACGUAGGGGGCAAGCGUUGUCCGGAAUCAUUGGGCGUAAAGCGCGCGUAGGCGGCCCGGUAAGUCCGCUCUGAAAGUCCAGGGCUCAACCCUGGAAAGCGGGUGGAUACUGCCGGGCUAGAAUCCGGAAGAGGCGAGUGGAAUUCCUGGUGUAGCGGUGGAAUGCGCAGAUAUCAGGAGGAACACCUAUAGCGAAGGCAGCUCGCUGGGACGACACUGACGCUGAGACGCGAAAGCGUGGGGAGCGAACAGG